This 433-nucleotide ribosomal RNA is filed under the name uncultured bacterium. RNAcentral describes it as "partial 16S ribosomal RNA". It matches the Rfam family "Bacterial small subunit ribosomal RNA", at positions 29 to 507 of the family's 1533-position model. The record is from RNAcentral.
AACGAACGCUGGCGGCAUGCCUAACACAUGCAAGUCGAACGAGACCUUCGGGUCUAGUGGCGCACGGGUGCGUAACGCGUGGGAACCUGCCCUUAGGUUCGGAAUAACUCCCCGAAAGGGGUGCUAAUACCGGAUAAUGUCUUCGGACCAAAGAUUUAUCGCCUUUGGAUGGGCCCGCGUUGGAUUAGCUAGUUGGUAGGGUAAAAGCCUACCAAGGCGACGAUCCAUAGCUGGUCUGAGAGGAUGAUCAGCCACACUGGGACUGAGACACGGCCCAGACUCCUACGGGAGGCAGCAGUGGGGAAUAUUGGACAAUGGGCGAAAGGCUGAUAGAGCAAUGCCGCGUGAGUGAUGAAGGCCUUAGGGUUGUAAAGCUCUUUUCGCCGGGAUGAUAAUGACAGUACCGGGAGAAUAAGCUCCGGCUAACUCCGUG